ACUUUUAGUUUUUGGUGAUGA
This 21-nucleotide non-coding RNA is filed under the name Arabidopsis thaliana (thale cress). Lineage: Eukaryota; Viridiplantae; Streptophyta; Magnoliopsida; Brassicales; Brassicaceae. The record is from RNAcentral.